CUUGAUUAGGCAGAAUGGCCACGAUGGGGCUUUCCACUUUGCCCUUCUCAGCGUUUGAGGGAUCAAUGACCGCAACAAUAGGAACGGCCACCUUAUGCGAAGAUGAAUCUUCCGCACGAUCAGAUAGAUACGCUUCACCUAUCGCAGACGAAGAUCUCAUUGGAUGGACUGUCCAUGUUAAAUUAUUAUCCUCUACCUCUGGCGUAUAUUCAUGUGCGUCGUAUUCGAAGAAUGCUUGGUUCUCUGGCGAUGAAGACUUUUGAGCUUCUGCUUCCUUCGCUUCAGUAAUAUUUUUUCGUACGUCCUCCAAGUUCUCAGGGGGAACCACCAGAAGGUGUUCGCGUUUCGAUAGUAUCUUGAAUAAAAGGUAAUACAAAUUUGGUACAAUAAUAUUAUAAUAAAAUAAUAAAUUAGUAUAAUAAUUAUUAUAUAUUAUAAGUUAUCAUUAUCGUUAUUAUAAAAUCAAAUGAUACAAAUUACCACAAUAAAAAUUUUAAGAUCUGAUCUUUUAA
Long non-coding RNA from Bombus pascuorum, 512 nucleotides. RefSeq lists it as uncharacterized. Lineage: Eukaryota; Metazoa; Arthropoda; Insecta; Hymenoptera; Apidae. The transcript has 2 exons. The record is from RefSeq and is a predicted model, not a curated record.